This 253-nucleotide ribosomal RNA is filed under the name uncultured bacterium. Its description in RNAcentral is "partial 16S ribosomal RNA". It matches the Rfam family "Bacterial small subunit ribosomal RNA", at positions 524 to 776 of the family's 1533-position model. The record is from RNAcentral.
UACAGAGGUCUCGAGCGUUGUUCGGAUUCAUUGGGCGUAAAGGGCGCGUAGGCGGCGGGGUAAGUCUGGUGUGAAAUCUCGGGGCUCAACUCCGAAAUUGCACUGGAUACUGCUCUGCUAGAGGGCUGGAGAGGAGAUCGGAAUUCACGGUGUAGCAGUGAAAUGCGUAGAUAUCAGGAAGAACACCCGUGGCGAAGGCGGCUCUCUGGGACGGUACUGACGCUGAGACGCGAAAGCGUGGGGAGCGAACAGG